Molecule: transfer RNA, 96 nt
Filed under: Stygiolobus caldivivus
Lineage: Archaea; Thermoproteati; Thermoproteota; Thermoprotei; Sulfolobales; Sulfolobaceae
Description: Stygiolobus sp. KN-1 tRNA-Ser
Rfam family: tRNA
About the family: Transfer RNA (tRNA) molecules are approximately 80 nucleotides in length. Their secondary structure includes four short double-helical elements and three loops (D, anti-codon, and T loops). Further hydrogen bonds mediate the characteristic L-shaped molecular structure. tRNAs have two regions of fundamental functional importance: the anti-codon, which is responsible for specific mRNA codon recognition, and the 3' end, to which the tRNAs corresponding amino acid is attached (by aminoacyl-tRNA synthetases). tRNAs cope with the degeneracy of the genetic code in two manners: having more than one tRNA (with a specific anti-codon) for a particular amino acid; and 'wobble' base-pairing, i.e. permitting non-standard base-pairing at the 3rd anti-codon position.
Source: RNAcentral
GCCGGGGUGCCCGAGCGGACUAAGGGGCUGGCCUGGAGCCACAGUCAGUUAGCCAGUGUGGGCAACCACGCGCGGGUUCAAAUCCCGCCCCCGGCG